RNAcentral lists this ribosomal RNA (816 nucleotides) under beta proteobacterium SCGC AAA041-J15. RNAcentral describes it as "bacterial SSU rRNA". It matches the Rfam family "Bacterial small subunit ribosomal RNA", at positions 53 to 859 of the family's 1533-position model. Lineage: Bacteria; Pseudomonadati; Pseudomonadota; Betaproteobacteria. The record is from RNAcentral.
ACAUGCAAGUCGAACGGCAGCACGGAGAGCUUGCUCUCUGGUGGCGAGUGGCGAACGGGUGAGUAAUAUAUCGGAACGUGUCCAAUAAUGGGGGAUAACGAGUCGAAAGAUUCGCUAAUACCGCAUACGCCCUACGGGGGAAAGCAGGGGAUCGUAAGACCUUGCGUUAAUGGAGCGGCCGAUAUCUGAUUAGCUUGUUGGUGAGGUAAAGGCUCACCAAGGCGACGAUCAGUAGCUGGUUUGAGAGAACGACCAGCCACACUGGAACUGAGACACGGUCCAGACUCCUACGGGAGGCAGCAGUGGGGAAUUUUGGACAAUGGGGGCAACCCUGAUCCAGCCAUUCCGCGUGAGUGAAGAAGGCCUUCGGGUUGUAAAGCUCUUUCGCAAGGGAAGAAAACUUAUGAUCGAAUAAAUCAUGAGGUUGACGGUACCUUGAUAAGAAGCACCGGCUAACUACGUGCCAGCAGCCGCGGUAAUACGUAGGGUGCGAGCGUUAAUCGGAAUUACUGGGCGUAAAGCGUGCGCAGGCGGUUUUGUAAGUCGGAUGUGAAAUCCCCGGGCUCAACCUGGGAACUGCGUUCGAAACUGCAAGGCUAGAGUGUGUCAGAGGGGGGUAGAAUUCCACGUGUAGCAGUGAAAUGCGUAGAGAUGUGGAGGAAUACCAAUGGCGAAGGCAGCCCCCUGGGAUAACACUGACGCUCAUGCACGAAAGCGUGGGGAGCAAACAGGAUUAGAUACCCUGGUAGUCCACGCCCUAAACGAUGUCAACUAGUUGUUGGUAGAGUAAAAUCUAUGAGUAACGUAGCUAACGCG